RNAcentral lists this ribosomal RNA (253 nucleotides) under uncultured bacterium. Its description in RNAcentral is "partial 16S ribosomal RNA". It matches the Rfam family "Bacterial small subunit ribosomal RNA", at positions 524 to 776 of the family's 1533-position model. The record is from RNAcentral.
UACGUAGGGGUCGAGCGUUGUCCGGAUUUACUGGGCGUAAAGAGCGCGCAGGCGGUCGUUCAAGUCGAGUGUGAAAGCCCCCGGCUCAACUGGGGAGGGUCAUUCGAUACUGAUCGACUUGAAGGCGGGAGAGGGAAGUGGAAUUCCCGGUGUAGUGGUGAAAUGCGUAGAUAUCGGGAGGAACACCAGUGGCGAAGGCGACUUCCUGGCCUGUUCUUGACGCUGAGGCGCGAAAGCUAGGGGAGCAAACGGG